Molecule: long non-coding RNA, 596 nt
Filed under: Salmo salar (Atlantic salmon)
Lineage: Eukaryota; Metazoa; Chordata; Actinopteri; Salmoniformes; Salmonidae
Description: lncRNA (ENSSSAG00000095230.1)
Source: RNAcentral
CAGGGUAUUACGGUACAGAGUCAAUGUGGAGGCUAUAUACAGGGGGGUACCGGUACAGAGUCAAUGUGGAGGCUAUAUACAGGGGGGUGCCGGUACAGAGUCAAUGUGGAGGCUAUAUACAGGGGGUUCCGGUACAGAGUCAAUGUGGAGGCUAUAUACAGGGUAUUACGGUACAGAGUCAAUGUGGAGGCUAUAUACAGGGGGUACCGGUACAGAGUCAAUGUGGAGGCUAUAUACAGGGGGUACCGGUACAGAGUCAAUGUGGAGGCUAUAUACAGGGGGGUACCGGUACAGAGUCAAUGUGGAGGCUAUAUACAGGGUGGUACCGGUACAGAGUCAAUGUGGAGGCUAUAUACAGGGUGUUACGGUACAGAGUCAAUGUGGAGGCUAUAUACAGGGGGUACCGGUACAGAGUCAAUGUGGAGGCUAUAUACAGGGGGUACCGGUACAGAGUCAAUGUGGAGGCUAUAUACAGGUGGUACCGGUACAGAGUCAAUGUGGAGGCUAUAUACAGGGGGUUACCGGUACAGAGUCAAUGUGGAGGCUAUAUACAGGGGGUACCGGUACAGAGUCAAUGUGGAGGCUAUAUACAGGAG